UAGCUAGUUGGUGAGGUAAAGGCUUACCAAGGCGACGAUCUGUAGCGGGUCUGAGAGGAUGAUCCGCCACACUGGAACUGAGACACGGUCCAGACUCCUACGGGAGGCAGCAGUGGGGAAUUUUGGACAAUGGGGGCAACCCUGAUCCAGCCAUGCCGCGUGAGUGAAGAAGGCCUUCGGGUUGUAAAGCUCUUUCGGCCGGGAAGAAAUCGCAUGGGCCAAUACCCUGUGUGGAUGACGGUACCGGAAUAAGAAGCACCGGCUAACUACGUGCCAGCAGCCGCGGUAAUACGUAGGGUGCGAGCGUUAAUCGGAAUUACUGGGCGUAAAGCGUGCGCAGGCGGUUUUGUAAGACAGGCGUGAAAUCCCCGGGCUUAACCUGGGAACUGCGUUUGUGACUGCAAGGCUAGAGUACGGCAGAGGGGGGUGGAAUUCCACGUGUAGCAGUGAAAUGCGUAGAGAUGUGGAGGAACACCAAUGGCGAAGGCAGCCCCCUGGGUCGAUACUGACGCUCAUGCACGAAAGCGUGGGUAGCAAACAGGAUUAGAUACCCUGGUAGUCCACGCCCUAAACUAUGUCAACUAGGUGUUGGGUGGGUAAAACCAUUUAGUACCGUAGCUAACGCGUGAAGUUGACCGCCUGGGGAGUACGGCCGCAAGGUUAAAACUCAAAGGAAUUGACGGGGACCCGCACAAGCGGUGGAUGAUGUGGAUUAAUUCGAUGCAACGCGAAAAACCUUACCUACCCUUGACAUGCCAGGAACUUGCCAGAGAUGGCUUGGUGCCCGAAAGGGAGCCUGGACACAGGUGCUGCAUGGCUGUCGUCAGCUCGUGUCGUGAGAUGUUGGGUUAAGUCCCGCAACGAGCGCAACCCUUGUCGUUAAUUGCCAUCAUUUGGUUGGGCACUUUAACGAGACUGCCGGUGACAAACCGGAGGAAGGUGGGGAUGACGUCAAGUCCUCAUGGCCCUUAUGGGUAGGGCUUCACACGUCAUACAAUGGUCGGUACAAAGGGUUGCCAAGCCGCGAGGCGGAGCCAAUCCCAGAAAGCCGAUCGUAGUCCGGAUUGCAGGCUGCAACUCGCCCGCAUGAAGUCGGAAUCGCUAGUAAUCGUGGAUCAGCAUGUCACGGUGAAUACGUUCCCGGGUCUUGUACACACCGCCCGUCACACCAUGGGAGCGGGUUCCGCCAGAAGUAGGUAGCCUAACCGCAAGGAGGGCGCUUACCACGGCGGGGUUCGUGACUGGGGUGAAGUCGGAACAAGGUAGCCGUAGGGGAACCUGCGGCUG
RNAcentral lists this ribosomal RNA (1287 nucleotides) under metagenome. Its description in RNAcentral is "bacterial SSU rRNA". It matches the Rfam family "Bacterial small subunit ribosomal RNA", at positions 242 to 1520 of the family's 1533-position model. The record is from RNAcentral.